RNAcentral lists this ribosomal RNA (468 nucleotides) under uncultured bacterium. Its description in RNAcentral is "partial 16S ribosomal RNA". It matches the Rfam family "Bacterial small subunit ribosomal RNA", at positions 28 to 507 of the family's 1533-position model. The record is from RNAcentral.
GACGAACGCUGGCGGCGUGCUUAACACAUGCAAGUCGAACGGAAAGGCCCUGCUUUUGUGGGGUGCUCGAGUGGCGAACGGGUGAGUAACACGUGAGUAACCUGCCCUUGACUUUGGGAUAACUUCAGGAAACUGGGGCUAAUACCGGAUAGGAGCUCCUGCUGCAUGGUGGGGUUUGGAAAGUUUCGGCGGUUGGGGAUGGACUCGCGGCUUAUCAGCUUGUUGGUGGGGUAGUGGCUUACCAAGGCUUUGACGGGUAGCCGGCCUGAGAGGGUGACCGGCCACAUUGGGACUGCGAUACGGCCCAGACUCCUACGGGAGGCAGCAGUGGGGAAUAUUGCACAAUGGGCGGAAGCCUGAUGCAGCAACGCCGCGUUCGGGAUGACGGCCUUCGGGUUGUAAACCGCUUUCGCCUGUGACGAAGCGUGAGUGACGGUAACGGGUAAAGAAGCACCGGCUAACUACGUG